RNAcentral lists this ribosomal RNA (305 nucleotides) under uncultured bacterium. RNAcentral's name for it is "bacterial SSU rRNA". It matches the Rfam family "Bacterial small subunit ribosomal RNA", at positions 335 to 638 of the family's 1533-position model. The record is from RNAcentral.
UCUCCUACGGGACGCAGCAGUGAGGAAUAUUGGUCAAUGGGCGAGAGCCUGAACCAGCCAAGUCGCGUGAGGGAAGACGGUCCUAUGGAUUGUAAACCUCUUUUGCCGGGGAGCAAAAAGCGGUACGUGUACCGCGUCGAGAGUACCCGGAGAAAAAGCAUCGGCUAACUCCGUGCCAGCAGCCGCGGUAAUACGGAGGAUGCGAGCGUUAUCCGGAUUUAUUGGGUUUAAAGGGUGCGUAGGCGGAAGGUUAAGUCAGCGGUCAAAUGUCGGUGCUCAACACCGGCUUGCCGUUGAAACUGUUC